Molecule: small RNA, 3957 nt
Filed under: Cryptococcus neoformans H99
Lineage: Eukaryota; Fungi; Basidiomycota; Tremellomycetes; Tremellales; Cryptococcaceae
Description: Cryptococcus neoformans var. grubii H99 hypothetical RNA
Source: RNAcentral
CUUGGUUACAUUUACUGCUUUCUGUUCUAUACUUGCUUUUGAAUACGGACUUUUGAACCUCAAAAAAUGACAUUUGAAGCUGCCAAAACAGACAAAGGUCUUCAAUCCCCAUCAUAUAAGACUCCUCCGUCAUAGGGUCAAGUUCACUCUAUGCCUUGAGGACACUCCUCUUCCUUCGUUCAUCACUGGGAUACCGGAUGAGGAAAUGGGAGAGGCGGCAGGUGCAGCGGCCGACAUGGAAGCAGCAACCGAGGAGUGAUAGCAUGGGGCGAUCGACGCCAGCGUCAGCUGAGGCAGGGGCAAUAGGGACGAUCUACAUAGCACCAUCCCAUGACGUUUGUAGGGGACAUCCGAUCAGCUGGCCCGCUCUGGUGCGAAGUUAGCGGAGUGUGAAACUUUCAACGUGCGGUCCGAUAUGUAUUCAUUCAAAAGGGACAAUAUUAUUAUUACAUAAAAAUACACUUGAUUCGUUUUAAGAAGAAAAAAACAUUGAAAGUCCCGGGAAUGUUUGCAUGAUAUCACAUCAGAUUUUGAUGUUGUCAAGCGCAAAUACCAAACGGUCAACCGCCUCCUCAACCUUCUUCUCAGUUGACUUUGUUGAUUCUGCAAGGGUCUAAUAUCAGUGGCUGGAACGAAUCAAUUGUAUGGUAGACCAAAAGUUGUUCGUAAUAUUAAUACGAUAAAGCUCACAUUGCUCCAUGGUUCUUGGCCUUGAGAGCUAGUUUAUACAUCUUGAGCGAAUGGCCCGGUACCACUCGUGUAUCGUGAUCACCGGUGGUGAUGAGCAUAGCAGGGUAUUGGACAGAAGGAUCGCGGCUGACAUUGUGAAGAGGGGAAUUAACGUGAAGGAUUGCGAGGGUUUCGGGCUCUUCCGGGGAACCAUAUUCAGUCAUCCACAUUCGUCCAAGGGUCUGCAAAUGAGGUGAUACGCAUAAGCAAGAAGUCAAACAGAAAGCAAAAGUUGACACUCACAAAUUUGUGGUAUCUGAUCAAGUCUGUGAUAGCCACGUCAGCAAACACGACAGAGUAAAGCUCUGGGUUCCGAACAGUAGCAGCAGAAACAAGGAGACCACCGUUGGAGCUACCGUAGAUGGCGGUGAGAGAGGGGGUGGUAAGUCCUCGAGACUGGACAUAUCGAGCGGCGUAAGCAAAGUCAUCCCAGCCGACAGAGCGCUUGAUACCGAUAGCAGCUUCAUGCCAUGCUUUGCCGUAUUCACCACCUCCUCGAAUACCAGCGAUGGCAACCCUGAAAGGAGUCAGCGGAAUUAAUCUGUCGGGCGAAGAAAUGAAGCUUACACUCCUCGGAGAUUACGCAUAAAAACGGCAAACAUUGGGUCAAAAUGGGGAAUAAGAGGUGCACAGAAGCCCCCAUAAGCAUGGAGAAGCAGAGGGUGAGGGCGAGAGAGGUCAAGGUCAUGAGGGUGACAGAUGAACAUGGGAAUCCUGACACCGUCAUGUGAGGUAUAGAAUACUUGAGAGCAAACCAACGUCUCUUGAGCAGCGGCCUCAGAAGAAUUGACACUACUAAUGUCUACCUCGUACCGACCAGUCUUGUUCUUGAUGAGCUCACCCUUGAGUACGUACGAAGGCGCAACCCAGGUGUCGACCGUAAAAUAAAAGUCAUUGGUGUCAGGUCGGCAAGAAAUGCUGGUGAUAGCACCGUGCUCAGGAAUGACGACUUGUCCUUCCUUUGCGUACUGGACCUCUUCCUCCGGAACGGGCACUUGAGUCUCUGGGUCGGCAGCAACGUUACCAUGGGUGCCUUCGGCAUCGGCAGAACCCAGAGGCUUGCCCGUGCGAGCAUCAAUGAAGACAACAGAGGCGCAAGCAUGUUUGAGGUAGAUCAGAGCGAGCAGUCGGUCGCCGAUGAAGUAGGCACUUUGAAGUUGGUGGCCUUCGGGAUCCGCGGGUACAAUCUCUUGCAUAGGCAAGGUACCGUCGAUGCUUGUGGCAUCCCAGUCGGCGGAGUCGAAGGCAAUGAUACGGCCGGUAGAGACGCCGUCUGUGAAAGAAGUGAAGAAGUGACGCUCGGCACUGGAUGAACCAAUAUCUACCCUUCAUUAACAACGGAAGUCAUAUUCUCGAAGUCGACACUCACAUUGAGUUUCUCCAGUAAAACCUCUGGACACCCACUUCAUCUCCUUGGCGACCAGUUCUGGAAGAAUAACACCAGCAGGGCCGGCAGUGCCACCAGGCAAUUCGACCAGCAGCAGCUCAGUCUCAGGACUGGUAUUCUUGUAGACGUCGAGAGCCAAGAAUGCCCUCUUGUUGUUCUCCUCCUUCUCGUCGACGGUAACAACCUUGGCUUUACCAACGAAUUGAAAUUCUCCAGACGGGGGCCCCCAAACGAUAACAUCGGCGGACUGGUGUUGGCCGAUUGCGUGGUAGAACAUGCCGAAGGAGCCGUCGAUACCGUCGUAAUCGUCACUAGUGGCAUCGUAGUCGAUAGAUCGUUUGUAAAUGAAACCCUGUCACCCAUGUCAGUUAACGGAGAGAGGGACAUAAAAACGCAUUCACCUUCUCGCCUACCCAAGUGACACCGAAAGUGAACUUUGAUCCUCCCAAGUCCUUUUCCAAGACAGUUUUGCUCUCGGUGUCGAUGACUCGAAUCCUUUGCCAGUCACUCCUACAUAUCCGGACAGCACACCAGAGUUUCCCGCUAGGGCUAAAGCUAUGGGCAUAGAGAGAGAUAUUCUCCUCCUUAUUCAAGUCAUAGAAGAUUUCGGGACCAGCAUUGCUAGGUGUCUUCCCAAAGUCGCGCUUGAGGUCCUUUGAUCGAACGAUGACAUCUCGAGGAGCGGUACCAGGGUUAAAUUUCCAAUAAUAAUAACCAUCGCCCUGAAGUUCGGGACUGGUCAUACGUUCAUGGUUGUAACAUUGCUCGACGGCGGCCUCGAGCUCUUUUCGAAAAGGAUGGCUGGUAAGCCUGGGAACAGAGAACUGUGUUCGCUGGUCAGAUAUGAGUUCUUCCUCAUAAUGAAAGCACUCACGUCGUUUUGUUCCUUGACGAACUUCUUUGUCACCUCGGAAUCGGCGUCUUCAAGAGCUCGCCAGUGGUCCUCGAUUUCAAUUCCGUGGAUAAUUUCAGUAACACCGCCAUGUCGAGGAGGAACUGGGUAUGGUGAAGAGUUAACAUUUUUCCUCCAGUGUCCGGGACUGAUUGUAAAAUCAGACGCAUGGACGUUCUUAAGAGUGCCAUGGGGCGUCUUGUCUGUGCUGAAAGAGUGACUUGCUUGUUGACCGCUCAUCUUGCCGCGUUGUGGGUGGAUGUUAUUCAAGGCGUUGGUAGCUUGCUUAAAACACUCUUACGGAAACUGCUUGGAUCAGAGAUAACUCUUGACAUUUUUGUAACUCAGCGUUAUUAUGGGCAAAUGGACUCGUUAGUGAGUGGAUAAGAAAGUGUUUGACGCGCGCCUCCGAAAAUAUAAAGAGCGAGACUAAGAAUAUUAAAAAGCUCCCUCGGGCUUCGCGUCAAAGAGGGUGGAGGCUGGGUGGGGGAAUGCUCGUCGGACGGAGUCCAACAGCGGCUGAAACCGACCCCGAACGCCCAAACGCCAAAUAAAAACACAAAGCAAAAUAAAGGCGCCCGGUUGUUGCAGGAUAUAUAUGAUGCAGAAUGCAGAAUGCAGAAUUGCCGAACCUGGUAAAAUGAUAAGGGGCAACAAGGUUGGAAGGUCCGGCGGAAGGAACUCCCCCAUUGGCUGCUGGCCCCUUGUUCUUCGAAGAUAAAAGAAAAUUAUUCAUCAUCUUGUGUUGUAAGACGGCGAUGACAAGAAGAGGAGGCCGUAACCGGUAGACGAGUCCAGAUAAAGAACAAGAUGUAAUGUCAACAACAAAUAAUGACAAAAGAACAAUAGAUGAAUGAGUGAUUAACGGAUGACAUGAUGCAGGUGGAAGAACAAGCAUGAUGUUGUGCAACGUGGUGACAGUAGUGGCACGAUAUAGAGGAGAGACAAG